CCCUUAGAUGUUCUGGGCCGCACGCGCGCUACACUGAUGCAUUCAACGAGUUACCUUGACCGUGAGGUCCGGGAAAUCUUUGAAACUGCAUCGUGAUGGGGAUAGAUUAUUGCAAUUCUUAAUCUUCAACGAGGAAUGCCUAGUAAGCGCAAGUCAUCAGCUUGCGUUGAUUACGUCCCUGCCCUUUGUACACACCGCCCGUCGCUCCUACCGAUUGGGUGUGCUGGUGAAGCGUUCGGACCGUGGCCUUUGGACGGUUCGCCGUCUGUUGGCUGCGGGAAGUUCGUUAAACCUUAUCAUUUAGAGGAAGGAGAAGUCGUAACA
RNAcentral lists this ribosomal RNA (324 nucleotides) under uncultured eukaryote. RNAcentral describes it as "partial 18S ribosomal RNA". It matches the Rfam family "Eukaryotic small subunit ribosomal RNA", at positions 1470 to 1796 of the family's 1831-position model. The record is from RNAcentral.